AUGAACGCUGGCGGCGUGCCUCAUCCAUGCAAGUCGAGCGAACAGACGAGGAGCUUGCUCCUCUGACGUUAGCGGCGGACGGGUGAGUAACACGUGGAUAACCUACCUAUAAGACUGGGAUAACUUCGGGAAACCGGAGCUAAUACCGGAUAAUAUAUUGAACCGCAUGGUUCAAUAGUGAAAGACGGUUUUGCUGUCACUUAUAGAUGGAUCCGCGCCGCAUUAGCUAGUUGGUAAGGCAACGGCUUACCAAGGCGACGAUGCGUAGCCGACCUGAGAGGGUGAUCGGCCACACUGGAACUGAGACACGGUCCAGACUCCUACGGGAGGCAGCAGUAGGGAAUCUUCCGCAAUGGGCGAAAGCCUGACGGAGCAACGCCGCGUGAGUGAUGAAGGUCUUCGGAUCGUAAAACUCUGUUAUUAGGGAAGAACAAAUGUGUAAGUAACUAUGCACGUCUUGACGGUACCUAAUCAGAAAGCCACGGCUAACUACGUG
RNAcentral lists this ribosomal RNA (496 nucleotides) under uncultured bacterium. RNAcentral describes it as "partial 16S ribosomal RNA". It matches the Rfam family "Bacterial small subunit ribosomal RNA", at positions 29 to 507 of the family's 1533-position model. The record is from RNAcentral.